GUGAGGAAUAUUGGUCAAUGGACGAGAGUCUGAACCAGCCAAGUCGCGUGAAGGAAGACGGUUCUAUGAAUUGUAAACUUCUUUUGUGCAGGAAUAAAGUGGGUUACGUGUAACCUUUGUAUGUACUGUACGAAUAAGGAUCGGCUAACUCCGUGCCAGCAGCCGCGGUAAUACGGAGGAUCCGAGCGUUAUCCGGAUUUAUUGGGUUUAAAGGGUGCGUAGGUGGAUUGAUAAGUCAGCGGUGAAAGUUUGCAGCUUAACUGUAAAAUUGCCGUUGAAACUGUCGGUCUUGAGUGCAAAUGAGGUAGGCGGAAUGUGUUGUGUAGCGGUGAAAUGCUUAGAUAUAACACAGAACUCCGAUUGCGAAGGCAGCUUACUGGGAUGCAACUGACACUGAUGCACGAAAGCGUGGGUAUCAAACAGGAUUAGAAACCCUUGUAGUCC
This 444-nucleotide ribosomal RNA is filed under the name uncultured bacterium. RNAcentral describes it as "partial 16S ribosomal RNA". It matches the Rfam family "Bacterial small subunit ribosomal RNA", at positions 354 to 796 of the family's 1533-position model. The record is from RNAcentral.